CCCCUGUGAACAUACCACUUGUUGCCUCGGCGGAUCAGCCCGCUCCCGGUAAAACGGGACGGCCCGCCAGAGGACCCCUAAACUCUGUUUCUAUAUGUAACUUCUGAGUAAAACCAUAAAUAAAUCAAAACUUUCAACAACGGAUCUCUUGGUUCUGGCAUCGAUGAAGAACGCAGCAAAAUGCGAUAAGUAAUGUGAAUUGCAGAAUUCAGUGAAUCAUCGAAUCUUUGAACGCACAUUGCGCCCGCCAGUAUUCUGGCGGGCAUGCCUGUUCGAGCGUCAUUUCAACCCUCAAGCACAGCUUGGUGUUGGGACUCGCGUUAAUUCGCGUUCCUCAAAUUGAUUGGCGGUCACGUCGAGCUUCCAUAGCGUAGUAGUAAAACCCUCGUUACUGGUAAUCGUCGCGGCCACGCCGUUAAACCCCAACUUCUGAAUGUUGACCUCGGAUCAGGUAGGAAUACCCGCUGAACUUAAAACAUAUCAAU
RNAcentral lists this ribosomal RNA (485 nucleotides) under Fusarium oxysporum f. sp. cubense. RNAcentral describes it as "eukaryotic LSU rRNA". The stretch from base 129 to 282 matches the Rfam family "5.8S ribosomal RNA". The record is from RNAcentral. Lineage: Eukaryota; Fungi; Ascomycota; Sordariomycetes; Hypocreales; Nectriaceae.